Molecule: ribosomal RNA, 253 nt
Filed under: uncultured bacterium
Lineage: Bacteria
Description: partial 16S ribosomal RNA
Rfam family: Bacterial small subunit ribosomal RNA
Source: RNAcentral
UACGGAGGGGGCUAGCGUUGUUCGGAAUUACUGGGCGUAAAGCGCGCGCAGGUGGUUUCUUAAGUCUGAUGUGAAAGCCCACGGCUCAACCGUGGAGGGUCAUUGGAAACUGGGGGACUUGAGUACAGAAGAGAAGAGUGGAAUUCCACGUGUAGCGGUGAAAUGCGUAGAGAUGUGGAGGAACACCAGUGGCGAAGGCGACUCUUUGGUCUGUAACUGACGCUGAGGCGCGAAAGCGUGGGGAGCAAACAGG